RNAcentral lists this ribosomal RNA (468 nucleotides) under uncultured bacterium. RNAcentral's name for it is "partial 16S ribosomal RNA". It matches the Rfam family "Bacterial small subunit ribosomal RNA", at positions 28 to 507 of the family's 1533-position model. The record is from RNAcentral.
GACGAACGCUGGCGGCGUGCUUAACACAUGCAAGUCGAACGGAAAGGCCCUGCUUUUGUGGGGUGCUCGAGUGGCGAACGGGUGAGUAACACGUGAGUAACCUGCCCUUGACUUUGGGAUAACUUCAGGAAACUGGGGCUAAUACCGGAUAGGAGCUCCUGCUGCAUGGUGGGGGUUGGAAAGUUUCGGCGGUUGGGGAUGGACUCGCGGCUUAUCAGCUUGUUGGUGGGGUAGUGGCUUACCAAGGCUUUGACGGGUAGCCGGCCUGGGAGGGUGACCGGCCACAUUGGGACUGAGAUACGGCCCAGACUCCUACGGGAGGCAGCAGUGGGGAAUAUUGCACAAUGGGCGGAAGCCUGAUGCAGCAACGCCGCGUGCGGGAUGACGGCCUUCGGGUUGUAAACCGCUUUCGCCUGUGACGAAGCGUGAGUGACGGUAAUGUGUAAAGAAGCACCGGCUAACUACGUG